GACGAACGCUGGCGGCGUGCUUAACACAUGCAAGUCGAACGGAAAGGCCCGGCUUUUGUGGGGGGCUCGAGUGGCGAACGGGUGAGUAACACGUGAGUAACCUGCCCUUGACUUUGGGAUAACUUCAGGAAACUGGGGCUAAUACCGGAUAGGAGCUCCUGCUGCAUGGUGGGGGUUGGAAAGUUUCGGCGGUUGGGGAUGGACUCGCGGCUUAUCAGCUUGUGGGUGGGGUAGUGGCUUACCAAGGCUUUGACGGGUAGCCGGCCUGAGAGGGUGACCGGCCACAUUGGGACUGAGAUACGGCCCAGACUCCUACGGGAGGCAGCAGUGGGGAAUAUUGCACAAUGGGCGGAAGCCUGAUGCAGCCACGCCGCGUGCGGGAUGACGGCCUUCGGGUUGUAAACCGCUUUCGCCUGUGACGAAGCGUGAGUGACGGUAAUGGGUAAAGAAGCACCGGCUAACUCCGUG
This 468-nucleotide ribosomal RNA is filed under the name uncultured bacterium. RNAcentral describes it as "partial 16S ribosomal RNA". It matches the Rfam family "Bacterial small subunit ribosomal RNA", at positions 28 to 507 of the family's 1533-position model. The record is from RNAcentral.